This 253-nucleotide ribosomal RNA is filed under the name uncultured bacterium. RNAcentral describes it as "partial 16S ribosomal RNA". It matches the Rfam family "Bacterial small subunit ribosomal RNA", at positions 524 to 776 of the family's 1533-position model. The record is from RNAcentral.
UACAUGGGGUGCAAACGUUGCUCGGAAUUAUUGGGCGUAAAGCGCACGUAGGCGGUUCGUUAAGUCGGAUGUGAAAGCCCUCGGCUCAACUGAGGAAGUGCACCCGAAACUGGCGAGCUUGAGUACGAAAGAGGAUCGCGGAAUUCCCGGUGUAGAGGUGAAAUUCGUAGAUAUCGGGAGGAACACCGGUGGCGAAGGCGGCGAUCUGGGCAGACACUGACGCUGAGGUGCGAAAGCGUGGGGAGCAAACAGG